GCGCCCUUAGCUCAGCCGGAUAGAGCGGCGACCUUCUAAGUCGCGGGUCGGGGGUUCGAAUCCCUCAGGGCGCGCCA
Molecule: transfer RNA, 77 nt
Filed under: Pseudomonadota bacterium
Lineage: Bacteria; Pseudomonadati; Pseudomonadota
Also listed under: 1 other name
Description: tRNA-Arg
Rfam family: tRNA
About the family: Transfer RNA (tRNA) molecules are approximately 80 nucleotides in length. Their secondary structure includes four short double-helical elements and three loops (D, anti-codon, and T loops).
Source: RNAcentral